UCAGCUUUUGCUGGCAUGUUGUUAUUACAGAGUUACCCUAUCUCUUUGAAUCGUCAUAUGUACUCCAGCCUCUUAUAGAUUAUGCAACUAGCUAAUGGUUGGAACUUUAAUACUUAGCUUUAUUUACAGGUAGCACAACCUCAUGUUAGUUGCCAUUUUAUUGCUACAGAUAUGGUUUUGUUCUGAUUGUAUAUGUGAUGAUUUUAUCCAUGUGUAUGUAUGUGGUCUUCAAAGUUGUUGAAAGAUUGAAAGCGUAAGCAAGUUCGCCAAAUUCCUUCGGUAAGUCAUAUAUUCUUGUGUCUCUUUCCUAUGUUUUAGAGGUUUAUAGAAGAUAUGAGGUAGAAUAUUUCCUUUUCAGUAUAUCUGAAAUUAUAUGGGAGAGAUUACUAGCUCACACAUAUAGUUCGGUUAUUAGCUUUCUAAAUAAGUUCAGCCCUAGAGCACAUAUUUUUGCAUCCAUUGCUUAUUUAAUCCAUUGGUAUCUAUUUUCUCCGGUUCAUAUAGUAUGUUUACAUUUGACUUGGAAUUGUCUGUACUUUUGUUCUGCUUUUGUUUCAAGGUACUUUCAAAGAAAUCAAUGUCCCAUCUGUCUAUGGAAAACUCUAAGAAGGCUCGAUUGGCACAUGAAGCUCUUAAAUACUUGAGAGCCUUUUACAACA
RNAcentral lists this long non-coding RNA (659 nucleotides) under Triticum aestivum (bread wheat). RNAcentral's name for it is "long non-coding RNA (TAES_LNC021543)". Lineage: Eukaryota; Viridiplantae; Streptophyta; Magnoliopsida; Poales; Poaceae. The record is from RNAcentral.